Molecule: ribosomal RNA, 253 nt
Filed under: uncultured bacterium
Lineage: Bacteria
Description: partial 16S ribosomal RNA
Rfam family: Bacterial small subunit ribosomal RNA
Source: RNAcentral
UACGUAGGUGGCAAGCGUUAUCCGGAUUUAUUGGGCGUAAAGGGAACGCAGGCGGUCUUUUAAGUCUGAUGUGAAAGCCUUCGGCUUAACCGGAGUAGUGCAUUGGAAACUGGGAGACUUGAGUGCAGAAGAGGGGAGUGGAACUCCUAGUGUAGCGGUGAAAUGCGUAGAUAUUAGGAGGAACACCAGUUGCGAAGGCGGCUCUCUGGACUGUAACUGACACUGAGGCACGAAAGCGUGGGGAGCAAACAGG